Long non-coding RNA from Arabidopsis thaliana (thale cress), 206 nucleotides. RefSeq annotates it as other RNA. The record is from RefSeq. The transcript has a single exon. NCBI's taxonomy places the organism in Eukaryota, Viridiplantae, Streptophyta, Magnoliopsida, Brassicales, Brassicaceae.
AGGCCCAUCUUGCUACAUGCUCAAAUCUUGACCCAACCAGGAAACCCUAGUUUCUCAUCCGCGAAGAUGGUUAGGCAGCGAAUAAUGAUCUGAUUUAGCAAGGAUCUGUUUGUUUGGGAUUGUCGACAUAGCAAGACGAUUAAGUGGACUCUUCACAAAUGUCUUCACCGCAAAGUGAGACAGGGGAGAGGUCAUCAGCAAAUCUC